GAUGAACGCUAGCGGCAGGCCUAAUACAUGCCAGUCGGACGGGAUUCAGGAGCUUGCUUCUGAUGAGAGUGGCGCACGGGUGCGUAACACGUAUGUAACCUACCUUUAUCAGGGGGAUAGCCUCUCGAAAGAGAGAUUAAGCCCGCAUAAAAUCACAGCACAGCAUUGUGUAAUGAUCAAAUAUUUAUAGGAUAAAGAUGGGCAUGCGGAACAUUAGCUAGAUGGCGGGGUAACGGCCCACCAUGGCGACGAUGUUUAGGGGAUCUGAGAGGAUGGCCCCCCACACUGGUACUGAGACACGGACCAGACUCCUACGGGAGGCAGCAGUAAGGAAUAUUGGUCAAUGGGCGGAAGCCUGAACCAGCCAUGCCGCGUGCAGGAAGACGGCCCUACGGGUUGUAAACUGCUUUUAUACGGGAAUAAACCCAGAUACGUGUAUCUGGCUGAAUGUACUGUAAGAAUAAGGAUCGGCUAACCCCGUG
This 482-nucleotide ribosomal RNA is filed under the name uncultured bacterium. RNAcentral describes it as "partial 16S ribosomal RNA". It matches the Rfam family "Bacterial small subunit ribosomal RNA", at positions 28 to 507 of the family's 1533-position model. The record is from RNAcentral.